This 455-nucleotide unclassified non-coding RNA is filed under the name Hevea brasiliensis (rubber tree). Lineage: Eukaryota; Viridiplantae; Streptophyta; Magnoliopsida; Malpighiales; Euphorbiaceae. The record is from RNAcentral.
GCCGCCGUCACAAAUCGGUUGAGGGGAGGAUAAGAUGGCUCGAAAUGAGGAGAAAGCACAGUCGAUGCUAAAUCGUUUCAUAGCCUUAAAAGCUGAGGAGAAGAAGAAACCCAAGGAACGCCGACCCUACCUUGCCUCUGAGUGUCGUGACCUUGCGGAAGCUGACAAAUGGCGUCAACAAAUCAUGCGUGAGAUUGGUCGUAAGGUUGCAGAGAUCCAAAAUGAAGGCCUUGGUGAGCACCGUUUGCGUGAUCUCAAUGAUGAGAUUAACAAGCUCAUUAGAGAGAAGUUACAUUGGGAGCGUCGUAUAAUUGAGCUAGGUGGCCCCAAUUAUACCAAACACUCGGCCAAAAUGACUGAUUUAGAGGGGAAUAUUGUUGAUGUACCAAACCCCAGUGGUCGUGGUCCUGGAUAUCGGUAUUUCGGUGCUGCUAAGAAGUUACCAGGUGUUAGGG